RNAcentral lists this long non-coding RNA (5983 nucleotides) under Homo sapiens (human). RNAcentral describes it as "non-protein coding lnc-LTBP3-2:15". Lineage: Eukaryota; Metazoa; Chordata; Mammalia; Primates; Hominidae. The record is from RNAcentral.
GAUAGCGUCCAGGAGCUAGUGGGUGACAACAUGGAGCCCCGUGGAGCCGCGCGGGCGCUUCAGGGGCAGGCAUCGUGGUUUUGACUCUUCCCAGGGGCCUGGCGAGGGGACGUGUUUCCUGAGAAUGCGCAUCCCUGCCGGGGUAGAACAUUCAAGAAGUGUGUUCAGGAUGGAUUAAGUGGGAAGAGGCCGUUGCAAAAUAAUGUAAAACCAAGAUAUUGUGCGGAAAGCAGUAUCUGACAUAGCCGAGGGACAGGCUGUCGGCUCAUUUUACAUUUGGGUGGGGGUGGGGAGAAAGGUGAUUUUUAUUUAUUUAUUUAUUUUUUAUUUGCUGCAUUUGCAAGCAGGCAUCCCCAGCCUGGCUCUUCUGGAAGCAAACCUGGUGAACUCCUGAGCCCUCCAGCAAGGCGGGCAGGGCCCGAAUGUCUGGAGAGGACUUUGGACCGUGUAGCGGGCACCUCCCUUGCUAGGGGGUGCAGGGUGAUGAGGAAGCUCUGGCCCCUGAGGUAGAGGAUGAAAAAGGACCCCGGUUCAAGUAACCAGAAUGGAAAAUGGCAUCUGACAGGAACUCCUGCCAGGAACCUCUCCCUGGUUAACACCCACACCCCAUACAAAACAACCCCUUGAAAGCAGGCCCCCUUGGCAACCGAGAAGAAGCUGGUGAAGACAUUUCGCCUGCGUCUGUGAGGUGGUAUCAGCAGGCAGGGCUGGGCCUGACAUGCACCCCUCCCUGUGCUUCUCGGAAAACUGGUGACUGUGUGUCAUCUGACCUUCAGCACAGAAGGUGGUGAUGUGGCAAGCCCAGGCUUGCUCCCUGGCGCCUGCUUAGCCCUGUUUCUCUGCCAGGGGAAGAUUCCGGCAGUGCGGCCUCCUCCAGGAUCUGCCCCAUCAGUCUCUUCCUGACUGUAUCUCCAGGGGUGGGUUGGGGUGGGGUGAUUUGGCCUGAAAGAACCGUGUGGAAAGAGGGAAUUGUCUGUCAAAAUGUUCUAGAAAGCUGGGCAGCUUAUGAAACCAAUGGAGGAGUCUUCACUGCUGCUUCACAGUACUGGGCAGUGGAGUCAGCCAGACCUUUCUUUAUCUCACCAGGCAUCUGAGAGGUGGGUCGUCCCCGCUGUAGUGCUGUUUCUGGGCCCCAGUUGAUGUCUUAACUUGCUUUUCUCUAUUUCAGGUCUCGAAAUCUCUCUAAUUCACACACAUCAUUCCCAAAUCCCAGAAACAAACUAUGGUAGAUUUUAUUUUUCAAAAAAGAGUGGGAUCCAUUCGCUUUUGAAGGCCAUGGUGGGAGGAUUGCCUAGAGGCCAGGAGUUCGAGACCAGCCUGGGAAACACAGCAAGACCCUGUCUCUACAAAAAAUGAAAGAAAAAAAAAAAAAAAAGCCAGGUGCACAUGACUGCCUGUAGUCUCAGCUACUGGGGAGACUGAGGCAGCAGGAUCCCUUGAGCCUAGGAUUUUGAGGCUGCAGUGAGCUAUGAUUGUGCCACUGCACUCCAGGCUGGCCAACAAGAGUGAGACCCUUUCUAAUACAUAUAUAUAUAUAGAUUUUUUUUUAAGUAGGGACAAUUACUGACAUACAAAACAUAGGAUUCUGUAAAGCAUAGGCUUCCCUGUCACAAAGGGAACCAAGUCUCCUUUGUGCCCUUGUAUCUGGAGCUGCCUUUGCCACCCUGGGUUUUCAAGGACAAAAGGGCACUGUUUCAGAGGGUCCUUAUGUAGAAGCUUUGCUGGCCUCCAAGUUCCACACAGCUCGUUUUUCUCGGGAAAGGAAUGUAUUUAAGGAGAGAUGAGCUGAGGGUAGACAACCACAUGGAUAUCUCUGUCCUGCCUUAAGGGGCCAAAGCUGUGCCCACAGUAAGGAGGGUACACAUUGGGCCUGGGUUCUGCUCUCUUCCUCUACAAAUAAGUCUAAAAAUACCUCUGCCCAGCUGGAGGGUGAGAGCAGGAAGGCCGGUGUCAGCAGAUUUCUCUAGAUCAAAACAAGUUGUUCCAGAAAACAGCAGCAAACAGAGGCCCUUGGAUUCCGGGGUGGAGCUGGGUGGUGAAGGGCCCGCCCUGCCUGUGUGGGUGGCCAACUCCUGCUUCUUCCCAGGCAGACAGAGGAACAGGAGGGGGCUGCUUUGGCAACAUCUGGAUUCCAGGGUUAGGGCCCUGUCUCCAAGCCCUUUCUUUCUUUUCUUUUUUUUUUUGAUGGAGUCUCACUCUGUUGCCCAGGCUGGAGUGCAGUGGUGUGAUCUCUGCUCACUGCACCCUCCCUCCUGGGUUCAAGUGAUUUUCCUGCCUCAGCCUCCCGAGUAGCUGGGACUAUAGGCUUACACCACCACAUUGGCUAAUUUUUUUUUUUUUUUUUUGUAUUUUUAGUAGAGACAGGGUUUUACCACAUUGGCCAGGCUGGUCUCCAACUCCUGACCUCAAGUGAUCCACCUGCCUUGACCUCCCAAAGUGCUGCGAUUACAGGGGUAGCCACCGCGCCUGGCCCCUGUCUCCAAGCCCUUUCUUGCGGCUAUUGCCAAUCAGGGUCACUGGUCUCCCGGGUGCCUGGAGCCCCACAUCUUGUUCUGAAGCCAGGUCAGCUCUGUGGUUUCCAAACAUAUAGACAGACCAGUCCCAGGAAGUACCCGGGAUUUCCCACAGGAGCCCCUGGAAAAGGGGAGCAGAAGCCGGGUAAGAAAGGGUGGUUCUUCAGGCUUAUACCAAGGGCAGGACAAUGACAGUGUUGCUACUACUGCUUGAGAAUGUGCAGGGCCCCAGCCCUCCAUUCUCCACGGGUCUAGUUCUGGAGCUGUGGCCUCCAGGGCCAUUUUGGGCUCCCCGCUCACCAGAGAUCUGAGGCCUAGGCCCUUUCUGAGCCCUGAGGCCCCUCAGCUCAGGGCCUGGGUCUGGAAACUGCACUGUCACUGUGUGCUGGCCGGGAGCCCGCCUUUCACGCCUCGCAGCCAGUGCAGGAAACACAAGCUGGGCCCCACCCCCAACUCUAACCGGCCUCUUCCUGUGAGGCUCCGGCCUGCUCUGCCCCCACCUCUCAUGUGACCAGGGUAGGCCACCCCUCCCAGCCUUGCUUCCCCCAUUUUGAGGCUCCUCUCGGCCCUAACAUCUCUUGAUUCUGACAGUGUAGUGUUUCCUGGAACACUCUUCACCUAGUUGCUGCCUAGUCCACUUCCACUGCUCCUUCAGGCCUCUGCCCUAAGGUCACCACUCAGCCAGCCUCCUGACCACAACUCUAAAGCGCCGCCCCAACUUGAUCUCCUCGAGGGAGGGGUUUCGGUCUGUUUUGCCCGGGAUUGCUGUGCCCUGGCACGUGACUCUGCACUUUGUUUUGUAAAGGUCACUGAGCACCCUGAGGCUCUGGGUAAAUAUUUGUGGACUGACUGAGGAAGGGAGUUCCCAGGUCAGCUGCAGCCCCAUAAAUGUGAUGACAGGCCCAGCUCUGUGGGGUCCCAGGUCAGGAGGCAGGAGAGGGAAGAAGGACAGCGGCUGCUCUCAGUGGACUGGGACUGCCUGGGGUGGCCAAGGGGAACUGGGGUGCACUCUCAGCCACACGUUGGCAAAGGCAUUUGAGGGAGAGGGCAUCAGAGGGAGGGGGUCUCCCAUGGCCCUGGUUUACAAAGCUGAGGUGAGGUGAGGUGAGCAUGCCCCAGGGCUGCUGCACCUACAGGAGCCGACUGUCCCAACCCCAGCCCCACGGGCCCUUCCUCCUUCCCAACUGUCCUGGGCCCUCCCUCAGCACCUCCCAUUCCCCCCCCACCCCCAAACAUACUGAGCCCUCCGGCUAUUUUUAACACUUUGACCUAAUGUGGGCUGGUCCACCACAUGUGCUGGAAAGCAGGCCGCCCACCAGGAAGGCGAGGCAGGGGAGGACCCUCAGGAGGGGGCUUCUCACUCUUGCAUUUGACCCGUCACCUCGGGCUGCGUGGGGUCUGUGCACGCCCUUUCCUCACUACUGCCAAGGCAGAUCUAAGGGGGGCUUCCUCUGCCCAGGGCCAAGCCCCAGGCCUCGGGCUGUGCUUUACAGGAAAGAACUUUGCGGUGUCAGCCCCCUGCAUCCGGAUGUCCUGGGACUGUCCCCUGUUCCGUGCCAUGCUAGAGUGCCUGGGCACCUGCCCCUUACCCCAGGCCUUGGUCCCCCGUCCUCCUGAGCACUCACCCACUCCUUGGAGCCUUGCCUGAGCUGGCACCCUAGAACACCCUGUCCUCCUUGCCUCCUCCUGCCUCUUCACCAGCUCACUGCUACCUCUGUCUCCUGUAGCCCCAUCCUGUCACAGAGCUCACGAGACCUUCCUGUUCCCACCCUGCCACGCUGAGCGCCUGUGUCCUCACUCCUGUUCCCGCAGAGAGAAGGCCUGUGGAAUGCGUGGCUGGGCCCCAUAGCCCUGCCUCCCCGGGCUGCCCUGCACCUCCAGCGGCCCCUAGACCUCCUCCAACCCUCCCCACCCUCCUUGGCCAAAUAAGCGAGCCCAGCUUUCCUAGGCCCCACACUUUCGCCUGUGCUAACCUUUCCAGCCUCCUCCCCAAGCCCACCCACUGGGAAUCCUGGCGCCAGCUCCUCUGAGCAGGGAGCCCAGGUGCUGACAUCCCACUACCUCCACCCCUAGGUUUGCAAAGCCCUCUGUCUUCAGGACCGCCAGCCGCCCCCACUGCCAGAGCCUACCACUUCCUCUUGGGUCCCUGCUGAUGGGAAUGGCCUGCACUGUGCUUGUCCCGGUGGCCCCAUCACAGCACCAGUUGUGACUGUCCUUGAAUCUCUGAAGGAGCCUUUUCUGCCCCAACCCACCUUGGUCUGACUGAGUGCCCUCUGUGAGCAAGUUGGCCAUGGUGCCAGGGCUUCUGCGGGGAGUAGAACCCCCCUGCCCGGGAGGCUGCUGACCUUGACGAUACUGUAUGGGAGGCCUGUGCUCUCGCUGGCUGGGAGAACUUGUCAGGGUCACUGCCACCCCCACAACAAAGUGCCAAGGUCAGAUGGGCACCGGACAAAGAAGUCCUUGGGAAGAGCUGGGACUAUUAUUCUCUCUUUUGCAAAUUAUGUCAAAUAGUUAAAAAUAGCAGGAAGACUUAGUGUGUGAGGUGGGGACAGGAGGUGCUGGAAGAGGGCUCAGGGCAGCUGGGAAGGAGGAAGGGCCCAGGGGCAGAGGCCGGACAGUCAACUGCCUCAGGAGGGAGGCGACUAGUGCCAGGUUGUGCUCACUCCACCUCUUAGAUGUCUCCAAAUAGCCCCAGUUUAAGUAUUUUUACUAAGCUGUCAUUUCACAGAAAAGCACACAUCUACAGCAGAAUCCGUUUCCAGGACAUGGAUCCUGACCUUUGGAAAACUCAGGACCCAUCACGAAGCUGAGGAAUGCCCCCGCCCACCACCAGGGAAACAAACCCCUUACCCUGUGUUCUUGAAAGUUGGGGACCCCCAUCAUGGGCCCAGUGGCAGGAAGAAGGUCAGGGCAGUCAGGAGCCAGGACUCCCACUCUGAGAGCGGGUGAGCCCGCAGCGCCAGACCCAAGGCCCCCGAGAUUCUGUCGUGGGGCACGACCCUGGUUCCAGGUUGCCUGGGCGGGCAGUGCUGCUCACUGUCACUGUCCCUGCAGCCCGGCAGGAGGAAAGGGUGAGCUCAGCUGCCCCCUGCUGGCCGCAGCCGAACCAGCAACCUGCAGAUGGGAGUAGGCUCCGCCCCACCCACGCUGUCCGCCCAGUGGGGGCGAGAGGAGCCGGGCCACCACACGGCACUGGACUUGCUGCUUAAAACUGAAGUCCUCAGACCCAGGCCCAGCCCUGCACCCCCAUUCUGGGUGAAGUUGGGUAGUCUGCCUACUUUCUUUGAAAUGUGGGGUGGAUUUGGACAGGGAGAAAAAUGCCAGGUAGCUCUAAAAGUCCUCUGCACAAAGGAGAAGAAUGAGCGAUGAGAAUCUGUCCCGAGGCCUGCACCUCCUUUGGGUCAGCACUGUCAGUGUCCCUUAGGCUCAAAGUCACAGGCUUUGGUUGACUGUCCCUGCUCCAUCCCAUG